RNAcentral lists this ribosomal RNA (503 nucleotides) under uncultured bacterium. RNAcentral describes it as "partial 16S ribosomal RNA". It matches the Rfam family "Bacterial small subunit ribosomal RNA", at positions 29 to 523 of the family's 1533-position model. The record is from RNAcentral.
AACGAACGCUGGCGGCGUGUUUAAGACAUGCAAGUCGCACGGGAUAAGACAUGUAGUAAUACUUGUUUUAUUUAGUGGCGCACGGGUGAGUAACACGUGAAUUACAUGCCCUAUAGUGGGGAAUAGCCCAGGGGAACCUGGAUUAAUACCCCAUGGUAUCGAAAGAUUAAAGGUGGACGCAAGGCUGUCGCUAUAGGAUUGGUUCGCGCCCUAUCAGCUUGUUGGUGAGGUAACGGCUCACUAAGGCAAUGACGGGUACCUGGUCUGAGAGGACGAUCAGGCACACUGGAACUGAGACACGGUCCAGACACCUACGGGUGGCAGCAGUCGAGAAUAAUUCACAAUGGGGGCAACCCUGAUGGUGCAACGCCGCGUGGAGGAUGACGGUCUUCGGAUUGUAAACUCCUGUCAUCUGGGAGAAAGACCUGACGGUAAAUAGCCGGCAGGGUUGAUAGUACCAGAAGAGGAAGGGACGGCUAACUUCGUGCCAGCAGCCGCAGUAA